RNAcentral lists this transfer RNA (66 nucleotides) under Lineus viridis. Its description in RNAcentral is "tRNA-Asn". The record is from RNAcentral. Lineage: Eukaryota; Metazoa; Nemertea; Pilidiophora; Heteronemertea; Lineidae.
UGGACAAAAGCUUUUAAAGCACCUGAUUGUUACUCAGGAGAGGUACGGUGGUUUGUUCUUGUCUAG